UGGACUAGCCUACUACCUAAGGAACUCUC
This 29-nucleotide non-coding RNA is filed under the name Homo sapiens (human). The record is from RNAcentral. Lineage: Eukaryota; Metazoa; Chordata; Mammalia; Primates; Hominidae.